This 522-nucleotide ribosomal RNA is filed under the name Triticum aestivum (bread wheat). RNAcentral describes it as "partial small subunit ribosomal RNA". The record is from RNAcentral. Lineage: Eukaryota; Viridiplantae; Streptophyta; Magnoliopsida; Poales; Poaceae.
AUGAUGGCGGAGACCAAGGCAGCGUCUGUGGCGGCGGAGGAGGGGAGGAGCAAGACGGUGGUGCUGGUCGCCGUGGACGACAGCGACCACAGCUACCGCGCGCUCGAGUGGGCCGUGCGUUACGUGGCGGAGAUGGCCGGCGCCGGGGCGCCGACGGAGCUCGUCAUCGUGCACGCCAAGCCGUCCCCUUCCCCCGUGGUCACCAUGGGUGGCCCCGGCGUGUCCGGCGACGUGGUGAGGUUAGUGGAGGCGGACCUGCGCAAGAAGGCCGAGGGCGUCGUCGACAGGGCGCGCCGCCUCUGCGUCGCCAACUCGGUGCAGGGCGUGGUGGAGGUGGUCGACGGGGAGCCGAGGCACGUCCUGUGCAACGCCGUCGAGAAGCACCACGCCGAUCUGCUCGUCGUCGGCAGCCAUGGCUACGGCGCCAUCAAGAGGGCAUUGCUCGGGAGCGUGAGCGACUACUGCGCCCACCAUGCGCACUGCUCAGUGAUGAUAGUCAAGCAGCCCAAGUCCAAGAACUGA